Molecule: ribosomal RNA, 465 nt
Filed under: uncultured bacterium
Lineage: Bacteria
Description: partial 16S ribosomal RNA
Rfam family: Bacterial small subunit ribosomal RNA
Source: RNAcentral
GAUGAACGCUGGCGGCGUGCUUAACACAUGCAAGUCGAACGGAAAGGCUCCUGCUUGCAGGGGUACUCGAGUGGCGAACGGGUGAGUAACACGUGGGUGAUCUGCCCUGCACUUCGGGAUAAGCCUGUGAAACUGGGUCUAAUACCGGAUAGGACGAUGGUUUGGAUGCCAUUGUGGAAAGGUUUUCGGUGUGGGAUGAGCUCGCGGCUUCUCAGCUUGUUGGUGGGGUAAUGGCCUACCAAGGCGUCGACGGGUAGCCGGCCUGAGAGGGUGUACGGCCACAUUGGGACUGAGAUACGGCCCAGACUCCUACGGGAGGCAGCAGUGGGGAAUAUUGCACAAUGGGCGCAAGCCUGAUGCAGCGACGCCGCGUGGGGGAUGACGGCCUUCGGGUUGUAAACUCCUUUCGCUAGGGACGAAGCGCAAGUGACGGUACCUGGAGAAGAAGCACCGGCUAACUACGUG